Mercenaria mercenaria is the source of this 1247-nucleotide long non-coding RNA. RefSeq lists it as uncharacterized. NCBI's taxonomy places the organism in Eukaryota, Metazoa, Mollusca, Bivalvia, Venerida, Veneridae. The record is from RefSeq and is a predicted model, not a curated record. The transcript has 2 exons.
UUGAAAAUGGGUCAUCUGGGGUCAAAAACUAGGUCACUAGGUCAAAUCGAAGAAAAACCUUGUGUAUGCAAUAGAGAAUGUAUUUUUCAAUUGAUCUUCAUGAAAUUUGGUCAGAGUGAUUGCCUUGAUGAAAUCUAGGAUGAGUUUGAAUAUGGGUUAUCUGAGGUCAAAAACUAGGUCACUAGGUCAAAUUAAAGAAAAAUCUUGUGUAUGCGAUAGAGACUGUUUUUUUCAAUUGAUUUUUAUGAAAUUUGGUCAGGAUGAUUGCCUUAAUGAAAUCUAGGUCGAAUUUGAAUAUGGGUCAUCUGAGGUCAAAAACUAGGUCACUUGGUCAAAUCAAAGAAAAAACUUGUGUAUGUGAUAGAGGCUGUAUUUUUCAAUUGAUCUUCAUGAAUUUUGGUCAGAAUGAUUGCCUUGAUAAAAUCUAGGUCGAGUUUGAACAUGGGUCAUCUCGGGUCAAAAACUAGGUCAUAUCUAAGAAAAUGCUUGUUUUAUCGCAAGAGACCAAUUUUUUGGCCCAAUCUUAAUGAAAAUUGGUCAGAAUAUUUGUUUCCAUGAAAUCACUAGGUCAAACAUGUUUUAUACUGUUAUGGUGUGUUUCUUAGGUGAGCGACCUAGGGCCAUCUUGGCCCUCUUGUUUUUAAUUGCAUAUUCAAACACAGUAUGGCUGAGAAAGCUAGCAGUUUCCGCAAGAGGAGAAAUUUGCAUACGCGCGAGAAAAGUCACGCUUUACUUGCUGUGACAGGGGUUUCAACUCUCGAUAGGCAUAGAUGCAGAAAGCAUGAUACAAGUUCAGACUUCAUUAAAGGCUCAAGAGAGGAGAGAGAACAAUCCUCGGGCUUUCCGUUGUGACAUUUGCGGCCAUCUUGUAGCAACCCUUCAUGAACUCACCGAGCACAUGCGCAGUCAUGAAGACAAUCGAAGUCCGGCCUGACCACAAUGUGGUGCAGUGUAUGAGCACAGCUCAUCCCUGAAUCGGCAUAUUAGGCAACGUUGCAGGAAUGUGUGUUUAAUUUAAUCCGGUGAAUACUUAGAAAAAUCGAUGUAGACAUGUUCUCGUCAAAAUAUCCGGUUUUCUUAUAGUUUUAUAUGAAAUGCGGGGGUUAAGUGUUGCGAUGACGAUCAAUGUACAAUUCAGCGUGUGUCUUUGCUCAAACAAUUAAAAAUAUGUAAUAUGUGUUUUAUUGAUAUUAUACAAUACUGUUUAUCUUGAUUUUUAGUAAAGCAUUUCUAGUCAUUUAGUCAAA